Molecule: transfer RNA, 72 nt
Filed under: Tetranychus urticae (two-spotted spider mite)
Lineage: Eukaryota; Metazoa; Arthropoda; Arachnida; Trombidiformes; Tetranychidae
Also listed under: 1 other name
Description: tRNA tetur22g02992
Rfam family: tRNA
About the family: Transfer RNA (tRNA) molecules are approximately 80 nucleotides in length. Their secondary structure includes four short double-helical elements and three loops (D, anti-codon, and T loops).
Source: Rfam by way of RNAcentral
UCCGAUAUAGUCUAGUGGUUAGGAUAUCUGGCUUUCACCCAGAAGGCCCGGGUUCGAUUCCCGGUAUCGGAG